Molecule: ribosomal RNA, 488 nt
Filed under: uncultured bacterium
Lineage: Bacteria
Description: partial 16S ribosomal RNA
Rfam family: Bacterial small subunit ribosomal RNA
Source: RNAcentral
GACGAACGCUGGCGGCGUGCUUAACACAUGCAAGUCGAACGGAAAGGCCCUGCUUUUGUGGGGUGCUCGAGUGGCGAACGGGUGAGUAACACGUGAGUAACCUGCCCUUGACUUUGGGAUAACUUCAGGAAACUGGGGCUAAUACCGGAUAGGAGCUCCUGCUGCAUGGUGGGGGUUGGAAAGUUUCGGCGGUUGGGGAUGGACUCGCGGCUUAUCAGCUUGUUGGUGGGGUAGUGGCUUACCAAGGCUUUGACGGGUAGCCGGCCUGAGAGGGUGACCGGCCACAUUGGGACUGAGACACGGUCCAGACUCCUACGGGAGGCAGCAGUAGGGAAUCUUCCGCAAUGGGCGAAAGCCUGACGGAGCAACGCCGCGUGAGUGAUGAAGGUCUUCGGAUCGUAAAACUCUGUUAUUAGGGAAGAACAUAUGUGUAAGUAACUGUGCACAUCUUGACGGUACCUAAUCAGAAAGCCACGGCUAACUACGUG